UCUCCUGUAAUCAAUCACCUAGCCUGAAGAGGGUUGUCCCUAAGAGGUCCCUAUGAGGGUGCAUCUCUAUGAGGUGUUCAGAGGAAUGCGUGGCCUCUCACCUGGACCUCCUGGACCUAUCCCAUUUCAGGGCAUUUAGGAGAUGGGCUGAGUCAAUGUGUGCAUGGAGCCUACAGCCAGCCACCAGCUUCAAGCUCGGCAGAGAGCCACUGCCCUGGGUGAUUGGUGGUUGUUAAAAUGGCAAAAGAAAGCCUUGAGGAGGUAUUCCCCUCAGGGUCCUUCCAUGGAUCACUGGACUUCAUGCUCGGUUCCUGGUGGAUGGUGCACGCAAAGAAAACUGGGUUUAAUGAACUGUAGAUGGAAGCCUUCUCCUUCCUACCGAUGCUGUGCUGCAUAUUGUGCCCUCACGGAGCACCGCCAUCAGAAGA
This is a long non-coding RNA of Hipposideros armiger (great roundleaf bat), 428 nucleotides long. RefSeq lists it as uncharacterized. The record is from RefSeq and is a predicted model, not a curated record. The transcript has 3 exons. Lineage: Eukaryota; Metazoa; Chordata; Mammalia; Chiroptera; Hipposideridae.